GACGAACGCUGGCGGCGUGCUUAACACAUGCAAGUCGAACGGAAAGGCCCUGCUUUUGUGGGGUGCUCGAGUGGCGAACGGGUGAGUAACACGUGAGUAACCUGCCCUUGACUUUGGGAUAACUUCAGGAAACUGGGGCUAAUACCGGAUAGGAGCUCCUGCUGCAUGGUGGGGGUUGGAAAGUUUCGGCGGUUGGGGAUGGACUCGCGGCUUAUCAGCUUGUUGGUGGGGUAGUGGCUUACCAAGGCUUUGACGGGUAGCCGGCCUGAGAGGGUGACCGGCCACAUUGGGACUGAGAUACGGCCCAGACUCCUACGGGAGGCGGCAGUGGGGAAUAUUGCACAAUGGGCGGAAGCCUGAUGCAGCAACGCCGCGUGCGGGAUGACGGCCCUCGGGUUGUAAACCGCUUUCGCCUGUGACGAAGCGUGAGUGACGGUAAUGGGUAAAGAAGCACCGGCUAACUACGUG
This 468-nucleotide ribosomal RNA is filed under the name uncultured bacterium. Its description in RNAcentral is "partial 16S ribosomal RNA". It matches the Rfam family "Bacterial small subunit ribosomal RNA", at positions 28 to 507 of the family's 1533-position model. The record is from RNAcentral.